CUAGCUUGCUAGGUGGAUUAGUGGCGCACGGGUGAGUAACGCAUAGAUGACAUGCCCUUUAGUUUGGGAUAGCCACUAGAAAUGGUGAUUAAUACCAAAUACCACCCUACGGGGGAAAGAUUUAUCGCUAAAGGAUUGGUCUAUGUCCUAUCAGCUUGUUGGCGGGGUAAGAGCCCACCAAGGCUAUGACGGGUAUCCGGCCUGAGAGGGUGAACGGACACACUGGAACUGAGACACGGUCCAGACUCCUACGGGAGGCAGCAGUAGGGAAUAUUGCUCAAUGGGCGCAAGCCUGAAGCAGCAACGCCGCGUGGAGGAUGAAGGUUUUAGGAUUGUAAACUCCUUUUGUCAGAGAAGAUAAUGACGGUAUCUCACGAAUAAGCACAA
RNAcentral lists this ribosomal RNA (387 nucleotides) under uncultured Helicobacter sp. RNAcentral's name for it is "bacterial SSU rRNA". It matches the Rfam family "Bacterial small subunit ribosomal RNA", at positions 75 to 495 of the family's 1533-position model. The record is from RNAcentral. Lineage: Bacteria; Pseudomonadati; Campylobacterota; Epsilonproteobacteria; Campylobacterales; Helicobacteraceae.